GAUGGAAGCAAGCUUUGUAUUGAAGCAGAUACCGAGCUGCUUGAGUCUUCCUUGGCUCCCCCGUCAAUUACCCAAUUCGCAAUCCUUCGUUUUCUCUUCAUCCUUCAAAUCCCACUUGCUCUUCCUCAAUCCCAAAUACUCUUCUCCAUCUACAUUUCAAAUUGAUCACCAAUUUAUUUGGAAUAGCAGCAAUGGCGCCACCAAGCCUAAAACUACCAGCAAGAAGAGAAGAAUCGUUAACAAGAAAAAUAUUGGCGUCCACAAAUCAAACACCAGCAAAUCUACUGAUACUAGUAGGAGUACAGAUGGUGGAAAGAUUAUAGUCCGAGAAGAGCGUGAAAAGAAGG
This 347-nucleotide unclassified non-coding RNA is filed under the name Hevea brasiliensis (rubber tree). The record is from RNAcentral. Lineage: Eukaryota; Viridiplantae; Streptophyta; Magnoliopsida; Malpighiales; Euphorbiaceae.